ACAACUUUCAGCAACGGAUCUCUUGGCUCUCGCAUCGAUGAAGAACGCAGCGAAUUGCGAUAAGUAAUGUGAAUUGCAGAUUUUCAGUGAAUCAUCGAAUCUUUGAACGCACCUUGCGCUCCUUGGUAUUCCGAGGAGCAUGCCUGUUUGAGUG
RNAcentral lists this ribosomal RNA (154 nucleotides) under Butyriboletus pseudoregius. RNAcentral's name for it is "5.8S ribosomal RNA". It matches the Rfam family "5.8S ribosomal RNA". From Rfam's summary of the family: 5.8S ribosomal RNA (5.8S rRNA) is a component of the large subunit of the eukaryotic ribosome. Lineage: Eukaryota; Fungi; Basidiomycota; Agaricomycetes; Boletales; Boletaceae. The record is from RNAcentral.